AAGAGCAUUUGAAACAGCAAGACUUGAGUACAGGAGAGGAAAGCGGAAUUCCUGGUGUAGAGGUGAAAUUCGUAGAUAUCAGGAGGAACACCCAUGGCGAAGGCAGCUUUCUGGACUGAUACUGACGCUGAGGCGCGAAGGUGUGGGUAGCGAACAGGAUUAGAUACCCUGGUAGUCCACACAGUAAACGAUGUUCACUAGGUGUAGCGGAUAGUAAAAUCUGCUGUGCCGGAGCUAACGCAUUAAGUGAACCGCCUGGGGAGUACGGUCGCAAGAUUAAAACUCAAAGGAAUUGACGGGGGCCCGCACAAGCGGUGGAGCAUGUGGUUUAAUUCGACGCAACGCGAAGAACCUUACCUGGGUUUGACAUCCUGUGAAUCCCCGAGAGAUCG
Molecule: ribosomal RNA, 392 nt
Filed under: uncultured bacterium
Lineage: Bacteria
Description: bacterial SSU rRNA
Rfam family: Bacterial small subunit ribosomal RNA
Source: RNAcentral